GUGGGCGUGCCGGAGUGGUUAUCAGGCAUGACUAGAAAUCAUAUGGGCUUGCGUAGGUUCGAAUCUUGCCGCUCACG
This 77-nucleotide transfer RNA is filed under the name Ipomoea nil (Japanese morning glory). It matches the Rfam family "tRNA". From Rfam's summary of the family: Transfer RNA (tRNA) molecules are approximately 80 nucleotides in length. Their secondary structure includes four short double-helical elements and three loops (D, anti-codon, and T loops). The record is from Rfam by way of RNAcentral. Lineage: Eukaryota; Viridiplantae; Streptophyta; Magnoliopsida; Solanales; Convolvulaceae.